AGAGUUUGAUCAUGGCUCAGGAUGAACGCUAGCGGCAGGCUAAUACAUGCAAGUCGAACGGUAACAUGAGUAGCAAUACUUGAUGACGAGUGGCGCACGGGUGCGUAACACGUAUGCAAUCUACCUUUAACUGGGGAAUAGCUCCGAGAAAUCGGAAUUAAUACCCCAUAACAUUAUGAAAUGGCAUCAUUUUAUAAUUAAAACUACGGUGGUUAAAGAUGAGCAUGCGCGACAUUAGCUAGUUGGUGAGGUAAUGGCUCACCAAGGCUACGAUGUCUAGGGGAUCUGAGAGGAUUAACCCCCACACUGGUACUGAGAUACGGACCAGACUCCUACGGGAGGCAGCAGUAAGGAAUAUUGGUCAAUGGACGAAAGUCUGAACCAGCCAUGCCGCGUGCAGGAUGACGGCCCUAUGGGUUGUAAACUGCUUUUGUACGGGAAAAAACCCCUCUACGUGUAGAGGGCUGAUGGUACCGUAAGAAUAAGGAUCGGCUAACUCCGUGCCAGCAGCCGCGGUAAUACGGAGGAUCCAAGCGUUAUCCGGAUUCAUUGGGUUUAAAGGGUGCGUAGGUGGAAUAGUAAGUCAGUGGUGAAAGCCUGUUGCUUAACAACAGAACUGCCAUUGAUACUGCUAAUCUUGAGUACAUUUGAAGUGGGCGGAAUGUGUCAUGUAGCGGUGAAAUGCUUAGAUAUGACACAGAACACCGAUUGCGAAGGCAGCUCACUAAACUGUAACUGACACUGAGGCACGAAAGCGUGGGGAUCAAACAGGAUUAGAUACCCUAGUAGUCC
Molecule: ribosomal RNA, 792 nt
Filed under: uncultured bacterium
Lineage: Bacteria
Description: bacterial SSU rRNA
Rfam family: Bacterial small subunit ribosomal RNA
Source: RNAcentral